Molecule: ribosomal RNA, 24 nt
Filed under: Trichoderma asperellum
Lineage: Eukaryota; Fungi; Ascomycota; Sordariomycetes; Hypocreales; Hypocreaceae
Description: partial 18S ribosomal RNA
Source: RNAcentral
CCCUGUGGACGGGAGGAUCUUACG